This 222-nucleotide small nuclear RNA is filed under the name Ancylostoma ceylanicum. Its description in RNAcentral is "U4 spliceosomal RNA". The stretch from base 1 to 84 matches the Rfam family "U4 spliceosomal RNA". Lineage: Eukaryota; Metazoa; Nematoda; Chromadorea; Rhabditida; Ancylostomatidae. The record is from Rfam by way of RNAcentral.
AGUUUUGCGCAGAGGCGAUAACGUGACCAAUGAGGCUCUGCCGAGGUGCGUUUAUUAUUGGUUAAAUAAAUCACAGCAACUCCCAAAAAUCACAGCGCUCAGCUGGUCUGUCACGCAGGUGGCGCGGCGCGGCCUCGUUUUCUGCGAUGCAAUAACACGACCAUCAUUUUAACCAGAGAUUAACGCAGAAUUUCGGAAAAUUCUGAAAUCUCAGUUACCUGU